AUUGAACGCUGGCGGAAUGCUUUACACAUGCAAGUCGAGCGGCAGCGCGGGGGCAACCCUGGCGGCGAGCGGCGAACGGGUGAGUAAUACAUCGGAACGUGUCCUUAAGUGGGGGAUAGCUCGGCGAAAGCCGGAUUAAUACCGCAUAAGCUCUGAGGAGGAAAGCGGGGGCUCCGUAAGGACCUCGCGCUGUUGGAGCGGCCGAUGUCGGAUUAGCUAGUUGGUGGGGAAAGGCCCACCAAGGCGACGAUCCGUAGCUGGUCUGAGAGGAUGAUCAGCCACACUGGAACUGAGACACGGUCCAGACUCCUACGGGAGGCAGCAGUGGGGAAUUUUGGACAAUGGGGGCAACCCUGAUCCAGCCGUUCCGCGUGAGUGAAGAAGGCCUUCGGUUGGUAA
RNAcentral lists this ribosomal RNA (399 nucleotides) under uncultured bacterium. RNAcentral describes it as "bacterial SSU rRNA". It matches the Rfam family "Bacterial small subunit ribosomal RNA", at positions 29 to 428 of the family's 1533-position model. The record is from RNAcentral.